This 468-nucleotide ribosomal RNA is filed under the name uncultured bacterium. Its description in RNAcentral is "partial 16S ribosomal RNA". It matches the Rfam family "Bacterial small subunit ribosomal RNA", at positions 28 to 507 of the family's 1533-position model. The record is from RNAcentral.
GACGAACGCUGGCGGCGUGCUUAACACAUGCAAGUCGAACGGAAAGGCCCUGCUUUUGUGGGGUGCUCGAGUGGCGAACGGGUGAGUAACACGUGAGUAACCUGCCCUUGACUUUGGGAUAACUUCAGGAAACUGGGGCUAAUACCGGAUAGGAGUUCCUGCUGCAUGGUGGGGGUUGGAAAGUUUCGGCGGUUGGGGAUGGACUCGCGGCUUAUCAGCUUGUUGGUGGGGUAGUGGCUUACCAAGGCUUUGACGGGUAGCCGGCCUGAGAGGGUGACCGGCCACAUUGGGACUGAGAUACGGCCCAGACUCCUACGGGAGGCAGCAGUGGGGAAUAUUGCACAAUGGGCGGAAGCCUGAUGCAGCAACGCCGCGUGCGGGAUGACGGCCUUCGGGUUGUAAACCGCCUUCGCCUGUGACGAAGCGUGAGUGACGGUAAUGGGUAAAGAAGCACCGGCUAACUACGUG